GGGGAUUAGUGGCGAACGGGUGAGUAACACGUGGGCAAUCUGCCCUGCACUCUGGGACAAGCCCUGGAAACGGGGUCUAAUACCGGAUAAUACUCCUGCACUCAUGUGUGGGGGUUAAAAGCUCCGGCGGUGCAGGAUGAGCCCGCGGCCUAUCAGCUUGUUGGUGAGGUAAUGGCUCACCAAGGCGACGACGGGUAGCCGGCCUGAGAGGGCGACCGGCCACACUGGGACUGAGACACGGCCCANACUCCUACGGGAGGCAGCAGUGGGGAAUAUUGCACAAUGGGCGAAAGCCUGAUGCCGCNACCCCNCGUGAGGGAUGACGGCCUUCGGGUUGUAAACCUCUUUCNNCAGGGAAGAAGCCCAAGUGACGGUACCUGCAGAAGAAGCGCCNGCUAACUACNUNCCAGCAGCCNCCGUAAUACGUANGGNGCNNGCNUUGUCCNGAAUUAUUGGGCGUAAAGAGCUCG
This 470-nucleotide ribosomal RNA is filed under the name Streptomyces prunicolor. RNAcentral's name for it is "partial 16S ribosomal RNA". It matches the Rfam family "Bacterial small subunit ribosomal RNA", at positions 87 to 571 of the family's 1533-position model. The record is from RNAcentral. Lineage: Bacteria; Bacillati; Actinomycetota; Actinomycetes; Kitasatosporales; Streptomycetaceae.